Molecule: ribosomal RNA, 253 nt
Filed under: uncultured bacterium
Lineage: Bacteria
Description: partial 16S ribosomal RNA
Rfam family: Bacterial small subunit ribosomal RNA
Source: RNAcentral
UACGGGGGGGGCAAGCGUUGUUCGGAAUUACUGGGCGUAAAGGGCGCGUAGGCGGCCAACUAAGUCGGACGUGAAAUCCCCAGGCUCAACCUGGGAACUGCGUCCGAUACUGGAUGGCUCGAAUCCGGGAGAGGGAUGUGGAAUUCCAGGUGUAGCGGUGAAAUGCGUAGAUAUCUGGAGGAACACCGGUGGCGAAGGCGGCAUCCUGGACCGGUAUUGACGCUGAGGCGCGAAAGCCAGGGGAGCAAACGGG